GGAAUUUAACCUUAGCCAGAUAUGCACUGUGUUUAUUAGAUAUAUUCCUUUCUGAUAGUGUUAAAGUAAUACACCUGUCAAAGCUGUUUAGCAUAAAAUCUUGGUGUCCAAUUUACCGUAUGAACGGGACAUGGAAAGAUUUCCUUGAUUGGCCUUUAAAUGCGAAGAUUCAAGGGAGCUUGAAAAUGAUCCCAUUACAAAACUCAGUGGUUGUCAAUUAUAAAGAAUUCUGUUAGUUUGUUGCCAAGAAAGUUAUAAAGAUUGAUAUGUGAAUGUACAUACCUUGAUACUUUUUAACAUAUUUUUAAGAUUCCAAGGCGCCUUUUUCAGUCCAAACAACUUUGGUAUGUCAGGCGCAUGGAUACGACGAUAAAGAUUGAAGUUUGACCAUAUGAAUUUCUUUUGUUACUUCGUUUGGUUCAUUAUUACAUUUUUGAAAAAAUUUAUUUGCAAUCAUAAUAUGUUACAAUAGUUUUGCCCAUCUUUUCUAACUUUUUGUGCUAAGGUUAAUGUUAUUUUGAAAUCUGUGCAAGACAUGUUUCAUCUAUUAAGUCGUCUAUCAAGGCACAAUUUAUCUUUGAUGUGUCUUAUUUUGUUCAGCCCCUAUUUGAUCUCAAUUUUUUAGAACUCAUUUUCUCCAAAUUCAUUUCAACCACACAAUUUUUAUUAACUUUUUAAGCGUCCAUUUCAUUGGUUUUUAUCAUAAUUUCCUGAAAAUCUGUUUAAACAAACCAAAAUGGGGUUCAUUCUGAUGUGAUCACAGAUACAUUUUAGCAUAUCACAGAUUAUUUAUCAUGAUGUUUACCUAGUACAGAAUUGGAACAAUACAGCGAAGAUUAACACCAUCCCUGCACAAAGUGGAAGUGGAAGUGGAAGUGGAAGUGAAGUGAAAGUGAAAGUCAGCACGCGCAAAUCAAAAAAUGGUCCAAACUUGAACCUGCAUCUAACAUGCAGAAUACAAGUGUGCGUUAGACCAACCUCAGAAGUCUGUUCAAAAGUUUCAAAAAUUCAGAAGGAAACAACAGUGGGGACUGUCUGUACUAUAAAACUUUGUGGAUCUUAAUGAAAGAAUUGUGACAUUUUCGGUUCACGCUAAGAUAUGGUUCUUAUCCUACG
Molecule: long non-coding RNA, 1116 nt
Filed under: Olea europaea subsp. europaea
Lineage: Eukaryota; Viridiplantae; Streptophyta; Magnoliopsida; Lamiales; Oleaceae
Source: RNAcentral